AAAAUAAUUCAAAAUAAAGUUCAACGGCACUCAAAGCUCACGGCUCUGUGACUGGGGUCCGCCGAGCACCCCCGGCACUUUCACCCCCAAACUGCAUUUCAGCAGGGCGGGGUGCAUCCAGGAAGAAGGGCUGGGAACCCCGGUGAGCGGGACAGAGGCGUGCCUGGGGACUCGGCCCUCU
Phyllostomus discolor (pale spear-nosed bat) is the source of this 181-nucleotide long non-coding RNA. RefSeq lists it as uncharacterized. The record is from RefSeq and is a predicted model, not a curated record. NCBI's taxonomy places the organism in Eukaryota, Metazoa, Chordata, Mammalia, Chiroptera, Phyllostomidae. The transcript has 3 exons.